RNAcentral lists this ribosomal RNA (265 nucleotides) under uncultured bacterium. Its description in RNAcentral is "partial 16S ribosomal RNA". It matches the Rfam family "Bacterial small subunit ribosomal RNA", at positions 524 to 787 of the family's 1533-position model. The record is from RNAcentral.
UACGUAGGGGGCAAGCGUUGUCCGGAAUUACUGGGCGUAAAGCGCGUGUAGGCGGCUAUGUAAGUCGGGCGUGAAAUCCCACGGCUCAACCGUGGAAGUGCACCCGAAACUGCGUAGCUAGAGUCCUGGAGAGGAAGGUGGAAUGCUUGGUGUAGAGGUGAAAUUCGUAGAUAUCAAGCGGAACACCGGUGGCGAAGGCGGCCUUCUGGACAGUGACUGACGCUGAGACGCGAAAGCGUGGGGAGCAAACAGGAUUAAGAAACCC